GCGGCGAUAGCGCGGUGGUCCCACCUGACCCCAUGCCGAACUCAGAAGUGAAACGCCGUAGCGCCGAUGGUAGUGUGGGGUCUCCCCAUGUGAGAGUAGGGAACUGCCAGGU
RNAcentral lists this ribosomal RNA (112 nucleotides) under Klebsiella variicola. The record is from RNAcentral. Lineage: Bacteria; Pseudomonadati; Pseudomonadota; Gammaproteobacteria; Enterobacterales; Enterobacteriaceae.